Molecule: long non-coding RNA, 179 nt
Organism: Eptesicus fuscus (big brown bat)
Lineage: Eukaryota; Metazoa; Chordata; Mammalia; Chiroptera; Vespertilionidae
Exons: 3
Source: RefSeq, a predicted model, not a curated record
UUCACUUAUUAUUUAUAAGUAGUUUCUAUCACUUCUCAGCCUUUUGGCUAAAAUCAAGUGUAGUUGACUAGAAACUGGGAUACAACGUUGACUGAGAAGUGGUGACAGAGGAUGUCGUGCUGUUUUCUCUUCUUAAGCAGAACGCACCCAGUACUUCCUCCAAAGAAGUAGAACAGGAC